Molecule: long non-coding RNA, 3181 nt
Organism: Lycium barbarum (goji berry)
Lineage: Eukaryota; Viridiplantae; Streptophyta; Magnoliopsida; Solanales; Solanaceae
Exons: 6
Source: RefSeq, a predicted model, not a curated record
GCUAGAGUUUCUCUCAUCUGGUCCUUGCACUUCAAUUAAAAGUAACCUUGACUGGGAGUAGGAUAUGAGUUUUGAUGAAAGAAUCACUGUAACAACCCCAAUUUUAAUGGAGGGUUAAUUUAUAAUUUACCAAAAGGGAAUUAAGUAUUAUUGAAAAGAAAAGGAAAAGAAAGAAAUGGGCCAAGCCCAAAAGGGGGGGAAAAAAAACAAAAGGAGUUUAAAGUCUGAUGGUCUAAACGUGAGAAACAAAAAUCAGAAAACAGAGAUAGAACGCAAAAAGGGAAACGCAGUGCAAGAAAAGAAAAGAAGGGAAGAAAAAAAGGGGAGAAAAAUAAGGAUUUUCAACCCAAAUUAUCAAGGUAAUGCGUGAAUUUUUAUGGUGAAAACAUGCGGAUUUUUUGAGGAAUUGAGAAAGUUUAGCCCUGGGGUUCUUCAACCUAAAUUAUUGAUUUGAAGGGGCAAACAACAUCAAAUUUUAGACUUCUAUAUAUUGUUGGAAUCGUCUUGUCGAAAGCUUCCCUAAAACAUAAGUCUUGUCAGGUUUUGAACACAUUGACCAGAGGGCGUUUUUGUCCUUUAAAAUUUGACUUUAACCGUUUAAGCCUCUAAAAAUAUAGAAGUGGUUUACCCUAAGGGUUUUGACCAUUCUAAAUCCGUUUUUGUGUAGUUUGAGGCAAUCCGGAGACUCGAGAAUGCAGUUUUGAUUUAUUGGGAAGUGUGCUUGAAUUGUGAAUUUAAGAUACUAUUGGCGACGACGAAGCUAGUAGCUCACGAGUUUGCUAGAGUUGAUCUAUUGGUUGAGCUUCAAUUUCCCAAUUCUGCCGGUAAUAAAUGAUGAGAUGAAGCCUUGUAGCUACUCUGAGUUAGAAAAGAUUACUGACUUCGAGUAUGAGAGCUGGAUUCAGAUGACUCAGGCAGGCAGAUUGCUCCGUGGAACCAUUACUGAAGGAUCUGAAAAAUGAUCAGUGAUUGUAAAAACAUGGGAUCUUCACCUACCUAAGGACAGAGAAGAUAUUUACCGUCCAUUCCAAUUUUGUGGAGAGAUUGAGUUAUAUGAAACAGCAAAUGCGCAUCCAUAUUUGGCGAAGUUGUCUAGAUGGCUUUGGAUGGGAUAAGCGGAUAAAUGUGGCAAUUCAACUUGCAGACCUCUUGGCAUGGUUGCAUGAAAAGAAGAUUGGAGUUGGCAGUGUCACUGCUUCAUGCAUUAUGAUAGAUAAGGAAGCGAAUAUUAAAGUGUUUGACUUUGGUUCCAUUUACCACCGUGUCAGCUACGAUUCUGAAAUUCGUCUUAAGUAUCUUGUUGGCAGGGGUGCUCCAGAGAUUAAUGUACAAGGCAUGUUUACUCAGACUUCAUCAUCUCUGAUGUUUCAUGUUAUAGAUGAAAGAUUUUCCUAUAAUCGUCUGUGUAAUAUGAUACGUAACACUUCAUCUACUUUGUUUUUUGGGUUCCAGAUUUCCUAUAUCAAAGCCUGCCCCACCUUUUUUUUUUCCUAUUUAUUUGCAUUUUUCCCCUUUUCCUUUCUCCUACCUAAUUAUCUCAGUACGAGCAAGUUAGGGUUAGUCGUCAGACAAGACAAUCUCUAUGUGGAAGCUAUGCCAGAGCUUAUGGUCAGCUAUAGCACUGUGACAUAAGACCAAAAUAACUAAAGCUGAAACUUAAGAUAGUUGAAAUGAAAGUGAGAACACAAACAUGAAAAUAUAUCUGUAACUUGCCCCCGUGGUGGAGUACUUGUCACCGCGGUUCACAUCCUUGAAAUCUGCUUUCUUGCAUUUCUUAGUUCCCUAUGCCAUAUAAUACUAUUUUUCUUGAGAAAUAACAAUGUUUUGGUCCAUUCUUCUAAUUGGAUCCUCCUUCUGAGAUUGCUAAUAUUUGUAGAUAACUUUUCGCUUCCACCUGUUUAAUGUAAUAAUCUCGUGGACGAGAUAUCUAGAACGUUUCAGGUUCCCUGUUGGUCAGUUUUGGAGGCAAAAUGAUGAAAUUUCUUAAAUCGGAAAUCAUCUCUAGCAUCUCUCUCUGCCUCUCUCUCUCGAUUGAUGAAAUUCUCUCUUCUAUGUUGAUAUUUGUUAUAUAGGUAUCUCGGGUCAUACAAAGUUCUGAUAACUUCUUUUGAAUUUUGUGGACCUUUUUCCUAUACAUUGAUUAUUAGUGGACAUUAAGCCAAGACUCAACUGAGAAUGCUAGGUCCCUUAUAUUUUUAUGUUCUUGACUGAAAUUAAGAACUAGUGAAAAGAAAUCUUUUUUAAGAAGUGACUCUUGAGCUUUCCCAGUGUGGAGAAAUUUCUCGUAUUUGUUGUUUCUACGUGUGCGUAGUCUCCUAUUUCUUCGAUGUAUAUUACUAUUUGUUUCUGCAUUUGUUUUUUGUCUUGCUAUUUGCUGUCCCUUUUAUUACAAUCCAUACUUCUCUUUUGAGUCGAGGGUCUAUCGGAAACAACCUCUCUACCCCACAAAGGUAGGGGUAAGGUCUGCGUGCAUCUUACACUCCCUAGACCACACUUGUGGGACUACACUUGGUUGUUGUUGCUGCUGUUGUUGUUUUUACAUGUGCAUGCAUAUUGUGGACACAUAAUUUAUCUGCUUUUCUCUGCUAAAAAGCAGUUUUAUUCCUAUUUUUCUGGACCAGUGCAGGUUGGACGAUGAAAUGUGAUGUUUAUAUAUUUGGUCUUCUACUGUGGGAGUUGAUAACCAAAACGGUGUUUGAUCAUCGUGGAAGAAAUGAUGCUAAAUUUGGCAGAAAAUGUUUGGUUAAUGUAUGCUUUGAAGAGGUUGAUGAUCAAACUGCUAUUGAUAUCACACGCCUCACUUGCCGUUGCUUGGAUGAACAUCCAGGCGAAAGGCCAACAAUGAAGAGCGUUUUUGAUGAUUUGGUAAAACUGAGGAUGGGAGAGAGGGUAGGGGGAAAACAAAAAAGAGAUGAAAACGAGGCCAUAAUAGAAUAAGCUAUCCCUUUGUUUAGCUAUUUUUAACUUUUGUAUAAACUAAAUUGCUAAGGUUGUUGCAAGGCAGUGAUGGAAGUCCCUUUGUUAUGUUAUUGAUGCUCCUACUUGCACAUGUUUGCGCUAUCUAUUUUUUUUUUUUUUCAAUUUAAUACAUCUAUUUGGUAAACACAAACAUAAGAAAACUCUCUCAACGGCAUCGAUUUGGUUGUUGUGGCUAAAGGGCAAAGAUUUUUUCACACUCUGU